Molecule: unclassified non-coding RNA, 264 nt
Filed under: Hevea brasiliensis (rubber tree)
Lineage: Eukaryota; Viridiplantae; Streptophyta; Magnoliopsida; Malpighiales; Euphorbiaceae
Source: RNAcentral
CAGCAUCUAGAAAUGGUAGGGACUCAGGCUCAAAAUUUGGCAGGCAAUCAAUGUCUCCAACUGCUACUAGAAGUCUUAGUUCAUCACAUAGUCAAGAUCGAGAUCGAAUUAGCUCACACAGUAGAGGUUCUGUGGCAUCAUCUGGUGAUGAUGAUGUGGACUCUGUGCAAUCCAUUUAUGUGGGUAGCUUAGACCGCUUGGCUUCAAAGAGGACUGACACAUUUUUAAAUACUAGAGCUAUGGCAUUUUCUAAGAAAUCAACGA